GUGAGUAACACGUGAGUAACCUGCCCUUGACUCUGGGAUAAGCCUGGGAAACUGGGUCUAAUACCGGAUAUGACCGUCUGACGCAUGUCAGGUGGUGGAAAGCUUUUGUGGUUUUGGAUGGACUCGCGGCCUAUCAGCUUGUUGGUGGGGUAAUGGCCUACCAAGGCGACGACGGGUAGCCGGCCUGAGAGGGUGACCGGCCACACUGGGACUGAGACACGGCCCAGACUCCUACGGGAGGCAGCAGUGGGGAAUAUUGCACAAUGGGCGCAAGCCUGAUGCAGCGACGCCGCGUGAGGGAUGACGGCCUUCGGGUUGUAAACCUCUUUCAGUAGGGAAGAAGCGAAAGUGACGGUACCUGCAGAAGAAGCGCCGGCUAACUACGUGCCAGCAGCCGCGGUAAUACGUAGGGCGCAAGCGUUAUCCGGAAUUAUUGGGCGUAAAGAGCUCGUAGGCGGUUUGUCGCGUCUGCUGUGAAAGACCGGGGCUCAACUCCGGUUCUGCAGUGGGUACGGGCAGACUAGAGUGCAGUAGGGGAGACUGGAAUUCCUGGUGUAGCGGUGAAAUGCGCAGAUAUCAGGAGGAACACCGAUGGCGAAGGCAGGUCUCUGGGCUGUAACUGACGCUGAGGAGCGAAAGCAUGGGGAGCGAACAGGAUUAGAUACCCUGGUAGUCCAUGCCGUAAACGUUGGGCACUAGGUGUGGGGGACAUUCCACGUUUUCCGCGCCGUAGCUAACGCAUUAAGUGCCCCGCCUGGGGAGUACGGCCGCAAGGCUAAAACUCAAAGGAAUUGACGGGGGCCCGCACAAGCGGCGGAGCAUGCGGAUUAAUUCGAUGCAACGCGAAGAACCUUACCAAGGCUUGACAUGAACCGGUAAUACCUGGAAACAGGUGCCCCGCUUGCGGUCGGUUUACAGGUGGUGCAUGGUUGUCGUCAGCUCGUGUCGUGAGAUGUUGGGUUAAGUCCCGCAACGAGCGCAACCCUCGUUCUAUGUUGCCAGCGCGUUAUGGCGGGGACUCAUAGGAGACUGCCGGGGUCAACUCGGAGGAAGGUGGGGACGACGUCAAAUCAUCAUGCCCCUUAUGUCUUGGGCUUCACGCAUGCUACAAUGGCCGGUACAAAGGGUUGCGAUACUGUGAGGUGGAGCUAAUCCCAAAAAGCCGGUCUCAGUUCGGAUUGGGGUCUGCAACUCGACCCCAUGAAGUCGGAGUCGCUAGUAAUCGCAGAUCAGCAACGCUGCGGUGAAUACGUUCCCGGGCCUUGUACACACCGC
Molecule: ribosomal RNA, 1275 nt
Filed under: Arthrobacter sp. HDL59
Lineage: Bacteria; Bacillati; Actinomycetota; Actinomycetes; Micrococcales; Micrococcaceae
Also listed under: 1 other name
Description: bacterial SSU rRNA
Rfam family: Bacterial small subunit ribosomal RNA
Source: RNAcentral